This 21-nucleotide non-coding RNA is filed under the name Caenorhabditis elegans. Lineage: Eukaryota; Metazoa; Nematoda; Chromadorea; Rhabditida; Rhabditidae. The record is from RNAcentral.
UCUCGAACCCCGAAACAAGGC